Molecule: ribosomal RNA, 497 nt
Filed under: uncultured bacterium
Lineage: Bacteria
Description: partial 16S ribosomal RNA
Rfam family: Bacterial small subunit ribosomal RNA
Source: RNAcentral
GAUGAACGCUGGCGGCGUGCCUAAUACAUGCAAGUCGAGCGAACGGACGAGAAGCUUGCUUCUCUGAUGUUAGCGGCGGACGGGUGAGUAACACGUGGAUAACCUACCUAUAAGACUGGGAUAACUUCGGGAAACCGGAGCUAAUACCGGAUAAUAUUUUGAACCGCAUGGUUCAAAAGUGAAAGACGGUCUUGCUGUCACUUAUAGAUGGAUCCGCGCUGCAUUAGCUAGUUGGUAAGGUAACGGCUUACCAAGGCAACGAUGCAUAGCCGACCUGAGAGGGUGAUCGGCCACACUGGAACUGAGACACGGUCCAGACUCCUACGGGAGGCAGCAGUAGGGAAUCUUACGCAAUGGGCGAAAGCCUGACGGAGCAACGCCGCGUGAGUGAUGAAGGGCUUCGGAUCGUAAAACUCUGUUAUUAGGGAAGAACAUAUGUGUAAGUAACUGUGCACAUCUUGACGGUACCUAAUCAGAAAGCCACGGCUAACUACGUG